Molecule: ribosomal RNA, 204 nt
Filed under: uncultured bacterium
Lineage: Bacteria
Description: partial 16S ribosomal RNA
Rfam family: Bacterial small subunit ribosomal RNA
Source: RNAcentral
AUUGCAGGCUGCAACUCGCCUGCAUGAAGUUGGAAUUGCUAGUAAUCGCGAAUCAGAAUGUCGCGGUGAAUACGUUCCCGGGCCUUGUACACACCGCCCGUCACACCAUGAGAGUCGAUAACACCCGAAGCCUGUGAGCUAACCGUAAGGGGGCAGCAGUCGAAGGUGGGGUUGAUGAUUGGGGUGAAGUCGUAACAAGGUAAC